This 743-nucleotide ribosomal RNA is filed under the name uncultured Granulicatella sp. RNAcentral's name for it is "partial 16S ribosomal RNA". It matches the Rfam family "Bacterial small subunit ribosomal RNA", at positions 54 to 776 of the family's 1533-position model. The record is from RNAcentral. Lineage: Bacteria; Bacillati; Bacillota; Bacilli; Lactobacillales; Carnobacteriaceae.
CANGCAAGUCGANGAGAGCGAACCCGNNNNUNGCANUGGUCAAUNUAGUGGCGNNGNGUGANUUANCACGUGGGUANCCUGCCCAUCAGAGGGGGANACAUUGGAAACGGAUGCUAAAANCCGCAUAGNUCUUCGANCCGCAUGGUUUGAAGAGGAAAAGAGGGGGCAAGNUUNUGCUGAUGGAUGGACCCGCGGUGCAUUUAGCUAGUUGGUGAGGUAACGGCUCACCAAGGCCGUGAUGCAUAGCCGACCUGAGAGGGUGAUCGGCCACAUUGGGANUGAGACACGGCCCAAACUCCUACGGGAGGCGGCAGUAGGGAAUCUUCCGCAAUGGACGCAAGUCUGACGGAGCAACGCCGCGUGAGUGAAGAAGGUUUUCGGAUCGUAAAACUCUGUUGUUAGAGAAGAACAAGUGCUAGAGUAACUGUUAGCGCCUUGNCGGUAUCUAACCAGAAAGCCACGGCUAACUACGUGCCAGCAGCCGCGGUAAUACGUAGGUGGCAAGCGUUGUCCGGAUUUAUUGGGCGUAAAGCGAGCGCAGGCGGUUCCUUAAGUCUGAUGUGAAAGCCCCCGGCUCAACCGGGGAGGGUCAUUGGAAACUGGGGAACUUGAGUGCAGAAGAGGAGAGUGGANUNCCAUGUGUAGCGGUGAAAUGCGUAGAUAUAUGGAGGAACACCAGUGGCGAAGGCGACUCUCUGGUCUGUAACUGACGCUGAGGCUCGAAAGCGUGGGUAGCAAACAGG